CUAGGAGUGAAGUAUUUUAGUACGUGAAAUUGCAAAUUUUAAAGAAUUUCUCCUU
This 55-nucleotide transfer RNA is filed under the name Trichuris trichiura (human whipworm). Its description in RNAcentral is "tRNA-Cys". The record is from RNAcentral. Lineage: Eukaryota; Metazoa; Nematoda; Enoplea; Trichinellida; Trichuridae.